Canis lupus familiaris (dog) is the source of this 2403-nucleotide long non-coding RNA. RefSeq lists it as uncharacterized. Lineage: Eukaryota; Metazoa; Chordata; Mammalia; Carnivora; Canidae. The record is from RefSeq and is a predicted model, not a curated record. The transcript is spliced from 3 exons.
UCUUUCUUCUUUCUUUCUUUUUCUUUCUUUCUUUCCUUUCUUUCUUUCUAACACAGCAGAUUUUCAGAGCCUCUGGGUGAUACCCAGUGACUAAACAGAUGGGUGGAGAAUAAAUGUCUCUUGUCACAGCUCAGCAAAGUCCCCCCCCCAGGACACUCUGGGUGGCUCACCUCUUUGAAAGGGGGCCUCACCCCUUCUUCAGAAAGAGCUUCAUUCUGGAAUGCAAGCAGCAUGGAGGAGUUGCUCCUGGAAGGGAAUUUCGACAUUCAUCAGACGUAAUUCUUUCCUUAAGUGAAAUAUUUAAACAGAGCUUCAAGGAAUCCAACAAAAGAAAAUGAGUUUUAGGGGAAAUACACACAGACACACACACACACACACACACACACACACCACAUUCUUUCCUCCAAACAUAAGCUGGAAGGAUUUUAUCUGCUCUCAGAGGGAAAACUUGAGAGGUUUAAUUUAAAACUUGGGCGGGCUCAUGGCUUUUCAAUGGGGGUGAUUGUGCCAUAGUCAGAGAAUGAGAUAAUAAGAAAACGUUUUCGAGCCAGUGUUUGGUUUGGCUUCAGAAAUUCAACCCAGCGUUCUUCUGAGAGCUUGCAGGCCUCGGGUGUAGCUGGGCUGGUGUCUCCCCUGGUCUGAGACCAGGUCUGCAAUGACGCUUAUACCGCCCGAGGCGCCCAGGGGACGCAGGGGAGGGCUUGGGCGCCGCCAGCUCGGCCCAGGACGCCCAGGACCCCACCGCCUCGUUACCUGGAACCCUGGCGACUGCGUAAAAUAAGGGCUGAGCAAGGCAGGAGGAUGAUCCGCCAUCAUCUGGAAGCCCCUUGACAGGACAGCAUCUUCCGAUUUGUCAGGGUUCACAACUCUCCUCCUGUCUUCAUCAACCCACUGGAUGGAAAAUCCAAACCAGCCUCCCCGGGGUGCAGGCUGCUCGGUGCUGCCUUCCUGGGAUUCCUCCCCUGUGGGUUUUAUCAGGUGGAAAUGAGCAAAAGGACCGUGCAAACGACGACCUGCUUCUCCCCUUUGCUUUGCCUCUUUAUUCUGCUCCAGGCUCUCUUGGGAAAAUGCUCAUUUCUGUGAGAACGGGCCUUCCCAGAGCCCAAACGCGGGGAGGAGGGAAACCCGGGUCUCCGGAUGUUCUCAAUUCAGAGGCAGCACAUCCCUCCGGGGAACCUGGGUCACCCGCGGCUGGUCCCACCUGCACACCCCCUGCUGUGAACCCCAGCUGAGAAGCCCCUCAGCCCUGCUUGGAUCCCCUGAGCCAGCCUGCCCUCCGGGGCGAUGCCAGCAUCCCCGAGUGAUGACACGACGACGACGACGGAGAGCUACGGCUGCUGCUGCGAGGAUCCUCCACGUGUCAAACCCGCCCCGCCCUCUGAAGCCCACGUGGCAGCAGGAUCACCCCCCCUCCCCCCCACGGAAGGCUCCAGGGCAGGAUUCCCUUGCUCGUCUUUGGCUUCUGCCAGCAAUCCACAGCAUCCUCGGCUGCAUCACUGGCUGUCCUCUCUCUGGGUCCCUGUGCCGUCAUCACACGGUCUUCUUGCAGAUUUGCCAGUCAUUGAUUUCAGAGCCACUCCUAAUUCAGCAGGAUCUCGACUUGAUUUAAUACCAUCCACAGAGACCCUGUUUGCAAAUAAGAUCACGCUCACAGGUCUGGAUGGGCAUGGUUGGGGGGGGGGGUGGAUACUAUUCAGCCCCAUAGACUCCGCCUGGGCCUAUACUGGGUUGUACUUUCUGUGCUCCCCCCCAUCCUCGGAGCAACCUGCGGCCACAGGCACAGCUAACAUUCCCACGGUGCCGAUGAGAGAGUAGGGGCUCAGAGCGGUUCAGUGGCAGGUGUCCGAGGUCACGCAGUUGGAGCAACAGUGAUGCUGUGAUUGGAACUCAGGGCAGCCUGACCCUGGAGCUGUCUGGCUCUGUGGAAACCUCUUGAAUGUCUGGCCCUCCAAGCACUGAACCCAAGAGCAGCCCAAGUGAGAAUCCUCUGGUUCACAAGCUCAUUUCUUUGGGCCACUUGUUUCUAGAGCCUCUUACUAAGCAGUUGGCCCUGACCAGCCCAUGUUGGGGGCACAAGGGAUGAAAAGUUUCUUUGGGCAAAUUUGUGGAGACAGCACAGAGUGGCGGGUGCUAGGAGGGCCUGCUAGGGGCUAUGACAUCUCCUCUGGGGUGAAGCGAUGUCCUGGAACAAGAUAGAGGUGGUGGCUGCACAACCUUGAAUGUGCUAACCUCACGGAAUUGUGCACUUUACCACACUUAAUUUUAUGUGACUUUUACCCAGGAUUUUUUUUCUGUCUUCAUAUUUUUCCUUUAUCUAAAAAUCUCACCACUAGGAGCACCUGGGUGGCUCAGUGGUUGAGCAUCUGCCUUUGGCUCAGGGUGUGAUCCCAGGGUCCUGGGAUU